UGGGCAAAGAGACCCUUUAGAAAAGACCCGUUGGUCGACGUAACGGGUCUCUUUAAUUUAAGAGAUCUAAUAUUAUAGAUAACGGCUCUCUUAUGAGUUAAAUGGCCCAUUAAAAUUAGAGGGGUGAAAAAUAAAAGACCUGUUAUCUGAUUUAACGGGUCUCUAGCGUAUAAAAGGGGCCAUUUAAAUGCCGUGCAAAAUAAAAUAAAAGAAGCAAUAAACCCUUUAUUUACUUAACGGGUCUCUUAUGUAUCAAGGGACCCACCACUUCUCGUAAAAAAUAAUUGGAAAAUAGCAAAAGAGCCGUCAUUUAACAUAACGGGUCUCUAUUUUCAUUCAUUUCCUGGCGCCAAGACUUUCGCAAAACCCAAUUUCACCCUAGGUUUUUCUUUUCCCUCUUUCUUCUUCCCUGGACAUACAACCCCUAGGUUUUUUCUUUGCCUCUUUCUUCUUCCCUGGACAUACAACCUAAGGCAACCAUCGACGAAUUCAUUGACGAACUCACCACUACCAACGGCUAAUCGGAGAACUAAGUUACGAUUGGCGACUUCACUCCCACUGGCGACCUCGACACAAUCGCUAGCAAACUACAAAUUUAGGUGUUUAAUAGAUACAAUGGUGUGAUUGAUGGAGUCCAGUUCUCAUCACAUGACCCUGUAGGUGGCCUACUAGCUAGAUCUACCCAUUGAUCCAUCUGCUGGUAUUCGUUGUGCAGAGGUUUGUUUCUUGUUGAAGGUAAGGUGUAAGGGAAGUUCACAUUUGG
Long non-coding RNA from Spinacia oleracea (spinach), 763 nucleotides. RefSeq lists it as uncharacterized. The transcript has 3 exons. The record is from RefSeq and is a predicted model, not a curated record. NCBI's taxonomy places the organism in Eukaryota, Viridiplantae, Streptophyta, Magnoliopsida, Caryophyllales, Amaranthaceae.